Molecule: long non-coding RNA, 431 nt
Filed under: Daucus carota (carrot)
Lineage: Eukaryota; Viridiplantae; Streptophyta; Magnoliopsida; Apiales; Apiaceae
Description: long non-coding RNA (DCAR_LNC002336)
Source: RNAcentral
UCCAAUUACUAUAAUCCAUAUAUUCUUAUCCAAUAUCAAUCAACUCACGACACUAUGUCAUCCAAAUCUUUUAUCACACGUGUAUACUAUCAUGAAUAAACAUGUAUAUCACGUAAUCAUCAAUUAAUAGCAAUCAAAUAACAUAUAAUCACAUUGUGCACAUUUAACAACAAUUAUUCACAUUCUCGACUCCAUCAUAUUAUUAUGUCAUAUCAAACUAGACUUUAUAAGCUUUCAUCUCUCUUUCGUUUUACUUGAUUCCGACUUACGGAUCAAAAGAUAUGAUCAAAAUUGUUUCCUACUUCCUCUAUCAACACAUAACACAUCACUCUAAUAACACACAUCACAUAACACAUAAGAUUUCCCAUCCCGACUAAUGUCAAAUCGAGUCUCGGGUUUAAAAUAAUUUUUCGGAAUUUUCUGGAAAUUUU